Molecule: ribosomal RNA, 253 nt
Filed under: uncultured bacterium
Lineage: Bacteria
Description: partial 16S ribosomal RNA
Rfam family: Bacterial small subunit ribosomal RNA
Source: RNAcentral
AACGUAGGAGACAAACGUUAUCCGGAGUUACUGGGCGUAAAGGGCGUGUAGGUGGUUACGUAAGUCUGGCGUGAAAUUUUUCGGCUUAACCGGGAAAGGUCGUCGGAUACUGCGGGACUAGAGGACGGUAGAGGCGUGUGGAAUUCCGGGUGUAGUGGUGAAAUGCGUAGAGAUCCGGAGGAACACCAGUGGCGAAGGCGACACGCUGGGCCGUACCUGACACUGAUGCGCGACAGCAUGGGGAGCAAACAGG